This 284-nucleotide unclassified non-coding RNA is filed under the name Hevea brasiliensis (rubber tree). Lineage: Eukaryota; Viridiplantae; Streptophyta; Magnoliopsida; Malpighiales; Euphorbiaceae. The record is from RNAcentral.
AUGAAUACUUAAAUUUGUUUAUUAAAUUUAGGUUUCAAUAAUCUUUGCAAAAGUUCUCUAUUAUCAUUCCUACCCACGAAACUAAGCCACGCGCAAACUUGCUCGUGGUCUUUAUAGAGAACCAGACCUAAGCCCACUUUUAACAUGGAAAAUAGAAGAGAAACAGAAAUUAAGCCCACGUUAAGAUAGACAAUUGAACAGAACAACCUUUGACAGUAAGAUUGGAAGGGGCCGCGCGAACGCAGGCCCCCACUGCCACAAAUUAUGACGUAGGCUCUCCCACU